This 479-nucleotide long non-coding RNA is filed under the name Aquilegia coerulea. RNAcentral describes it as "long non-coding RNA (ACOE_LNC000718)". The record is from RNAcentral. Lineage: Eukaryota; Viridiplantae; Streptophyta; Magnoliopsida; Ranunculales; Ranunculaceae.
ACCAACAAUCACAAUUCAUCAAUAACAACAUCAAGAACGAAACAAUCACAAUUAGCACCAACAAUCACAAUUCAUCAAUAACAACAUCAAGAACGAAACAAUCACAAUUAGCACCAACAAUCACAAUUCAUCAAUAACAACAUCAAGAACGAAACAAUCACAAUUAGCACCAACAAUCACAAUUCAUCAAUAACAACAUCAAGAACAAAAGAAUCAAUCACAAACUAGAUAGAAACCAAAACCAAACCAUCAAUUUGCCAAGUUGAAGAAAGAAUAAAACAAUAACAACAUCAAUUUGCCACAAUUUACUGGUUUAAGAACAAAAGAAUGAAUCACAAACUAGAUAGAAACCAAAACCCAACAUGUAUUCUAACAACAUGAAGAAAGAAAGAAUCAAACAAACAAACCCUAAUUACCAAACAAUAAUCAAAAUUCAAACAAACCCAUAUUUAGCCCAAAUUCACUUGUCUAUAAUGAUC